RNAcentral lists this ribosomal RNA (433 nucleotides) under uncultured bacterium. RNAcentral describes it as "partial 16S ribosomal RNA". It matches the Rfam family "Bacterial small subunit ribosomal RNA", at positions 29 to 507 of the family's 1533-position model. The record is from RNAcentral.
AACGAACGCUGGCGGCAUGCCUAACACAUGCAAGUCGAACGAGACCUUCGGGUCUAGUGGCGCACGGGUGCGUAACGCGUGGGAACCUGCCCUUAGGUUCGGAAUAACUCCCCGAAAGGGGUGCUAAUACCGGAUAAUGUCUUCGGACCAAAGAUUUAUCGCCUUUGGAUGGGCCCGCGUUGGAUUAGCUAGUUGGUAGGGUAAAAGCCUACCAAGGCGACAAUCCAUAGCUGGUCUGAGAGGAUGAUCAGUCACACUGGGACUGAGACACGGCCCAGACUCCUACGGGAGGCAGCAGUGGGGAAUAUUGGACAAUGGGCGAAAGCCUGAUCCAGCAAUGCCGCGUGAGUGAUGAAGGCCUUAGGGUUGUAAAGCUCUUUUACCCGGGAUGAUAAUGACAGUACCGGGAGAAUAAGCUCCGGCUAACUCCGUG